RNAcentral lists this unclassified non-coding RNA (250 nucleotides) under uncultured fungus. RNAcentral describes it as "partial contains small subunit ribosomal RNA, internal transcribed spacer 1, and 5.8S ribosomal RNA". The stretch from base 1 to 73 matches the Rfam family "Eukaryotic small subunit ribosomal RNA", at positions 1759 to 1831 of the family's 1831-position model. Lineage: Eukaryota; Fungi. The record is from RNAcentral.
GCAAACUUGGUCAUUUAGAGGAAGUAAAAGUCGUAACAAGGUCUCCGUAGGUGAACCUGCGGAGGGAUCAUUACUGAAUGGCCCGAUGGGCCUUCAAACCCUCAAACCUGUGGACUUGAAACCUGUGCUUCGGCGCCUUUCUUUGUGGGCGCCGCCUUUAUGCAUUGAGUCUGAUGUCGUCAGAUUGCUUUGAAGAUUGAAAACUUUCAACAAAGGAUCUCUUGGCUCUCGCAUCGAUGAAGAACGCAGC